RNAcentral lists this ribosomal RNA (253 nucleotides) under uncultured bacterium. RNAcentral's name for it is "partial 16S ribosomal RNA". It matches the Rfam family "Bacterial small subunit ribosomal RNA", at positions 524 to 776 of the family's 1533-position model. The record is from RNAcentral.
UACGUAGGCAGCGAGCGUUGUUCGGAGUUACUGGGCGUAAAGGGUGUGUAGGCGGUUUUCUAAGUUUGGUGUGAAAUCUCCCGGCUCAACCGGGAGGGUGCGCCGAAAACUGGGAGACUAGAGUGCGGGAUGGGAGAGUAGAAUUCCUGGUGUAGCGGUGAAAUGCGUAGAUAUCAGGAAGAACACCCGUGGCGAAGGCGGCUCUCUGGGACGGUACUGACGCUGAGACGCGAAAGCGUGGGGAGCAAACAGG